Molecule: ribosomal RNA, 478 nt
Filed under: uncultured bacterium
Lineage: Bacteria
Description: partial 16S ribosomal RNA
Rfam family: Bacterial small subunit ribosomal RNA
Source: RNAcentral
GACGAACGCUGGCGGCGCGCCUAACACAUGCAAGUCGAGCGAUGAAAGUUGUUCAGAUCCUUCGGGUGACGAACUUCCGGAUUAGCGGCGAACGGGUGAGUAACGCGUGAGGAACCUGCCUCUCACAACGGGAUAGCCUCGGGAAACCGGGAUUAAUACCGUAUGACACUAUCAGAUGGCAUCAUCAGGUAGUUAAAGUGCUAGCGGUGAGAGAUGGCCUCGCGUCUGAUUAGUUAGUUGGUGGGGUAACGGCCUACCAAGACGACGAUCAGUAACCGGCCUGGGAGGGUGAACGGUCACAUUGGAACUGAGACACGGUCCAAACUCCUACGGGAGGCAGCAGUGGGGAAUCUUGCACAAUGGGGGAAACCCUGAUGCAGCGACGCCGCGUGAGCGAUGAAGGUUUUCGAAUCGUAAAGCUCUGUCCUAUGGGAAGAUAAUGACGGUACCAUAGGAGGAAGCCCCGGCUAACUACGUG